Long non-coding RNA from Hypanus sabinus (Atlantic stingray), 1611 nucleotides. RefSeq lists it as uncharacterized. The record is from RefSeq and is a predicted model, not a curated record. The transcript is spliced from 3 exons. NCBI's taxonomy places the organism in Eukaryota, Metazoa, Chordata, Chondrichthyes, Myliobatiformes, Dasyatidae.
GGGGACAGAAGGCCAUGGAAGAGAGAAAAUGGUGGAGGAACACCAGGAGAGCAGUGGAUGCCAGAUGGUAUACUGCAAUGCUUUUUUCUGGGAUCUGGGAAGACAGGGAGACUUCCAGUAUCCCUGACGACUACUGAUGCAAGAAAUACAUCCAGUUGCUGCUUUAUUCUGGAUGGUUUGUUGCCUCCGGAUGCCAGUUAGGUGACAAAAACUUCACAGAAUACUCCAAAUUUGGCCUCACCAACAUAUUAUACAACAAUAUAACAUCUCAUCUCCUAUACUCAACACGUUGAUUUAUGAAGACCAAUGUGCCAAAAGUCUGCUUUAUGACUGUUGUGAUGGAAAUAACUGGUUCUUUGAGUCUCAACAGUAGAGGCCUGGACACGCACAGUUUUAAUAAGGAAUUUAUUAUUGUUACGCCUGUGCCCAACUCUGAGGGGCCGAAAGGUACAAAGUAGCCCCCUCCUUUUUGAGAAUCACAAGAUCGCUAUUAAUUCAAGUCAGGAGACCCAGGAAAUGAGACAGAGACACGCAGAAUCCACAAGGGGUUUGGAAUAUCCUGGCCCCUCAGCGAUACAAAGCCACAGGAAAUGGCCAUUGUCUCUUGGAGACGGAAUUGUGUAUUGAGUACUGUACUAUUCAUUGAAGCCCCUCAGGGGACGACCAGAGUGGGCUGGUUGAGGGAUUGCAUCAUCCCAACCUGAUUGACAUCUGAGACCCCGUGAGUAAGGAUAAAAGAGGGUCUGGGGAACAACCCCUUUAGACGCACCAGGAGAAACGCUAGAAAUCCCGUGACGGCGUUUAAUAGCAACAGGCGGUGGGGCCUGCGUGCGUCCUUUCCCGUUGGCUGGGAUUGGUGGGACUGACCACGGAAGAACGGCUUAGCUAAAAGGAAAAGGACACCAACGACAUUUCGAAGGAUCGACAUCAUAAAAAAGGAAACUCUGGCAAGUUCCAAAAUCUCUCUCUUGACUCCAACCAAAGGCUGCAGCCUGAAUGAACUUGAGUGACUUUAAUAUUUCCAUCGGACAAUACAUUAUCCCCUAGACAAUGAUAGAGCUAUUUCUUAUUGAUUAUUAUUAUACCCACGCUUUUAGAUUUAGUAUUGAUGACGUAUGUUAUCUGUAUGUUUGCAUUGAUAUUAUUUUUGUGUAUUUUUAUCAAUAAACACUGUUAAAAAUAGUACCAUCAAACUUCAACGGACCUCCCUAUCUUUGCUGGUAAGUGACCCAGUUACAGGGUUCAUAACAUUAUUAAAGGGGAAGUCGGGUCAACACAAGCAACUACAAUACACAGGAAGCAAUGUGGGGACAGGGUGCGGUUAAACAUACAAAGAACAAGGGAAAAGCACUACAACAGCUAUCCCCCUUGACCUUGGAUAGCUGCGGCUCCCUUAUCAGGACAAACGAUAGACCUUCCCAAACAUAAAUCAAUGCACUUACCUCCAAUGAGGUGGUCUGUAAGAGAGACCAAUCUAGGGACAAGUCUCACCUUUUAUAGCAUGGGGCUGGGCGAGAUAACCCAAUUAAGGUGACCAAUAAUUUGGGUGUGCAUUGGUUAGUUGGGAGGGACCAAAUGUUGAUUGGCAUGUGGUGUGUCCUCCGACCAGCC